RNAcentral lists this ribosomal RNA (206 nucleotides) under uncultured bacterium. Its description in RNAcentral is "partial 16S ribosomal RNA". It matches the Rfam family "Bacterial small subunit ribosomal RNA", at positions 524 to 728 of the family's 1533-position model. The record is from RNAcentral.
UACAGAGGGUGCAAGCGUUUGUUCGGAAUUAUUGGGCGUAAAGCGCGUGUAGGCGGCUUUGCAAGUCGGGUGUGAAAGCCCUCAGCUCAACUGAGGAAGUGCGCCCGAAACUGCAGAGCUUGAGUGCCGGAGAGGGUGGCGGAAUUCCCCAAGUAGAGGUGAAAUUCGUAGAUAUGGGGAGGAACACCGGUGGCGAAGGCGGCCAC